GGGCCCAUAGCUCAGUUGGUCAGAGCGACCGGCUCAUAACCGGUUGGUCCCUGGUUCAAGUCCAGGUGGGCCCA
This 74-nucleotide transfer RNA is filed under the name Pseudomonadota bacterium. Its description in RNAcentral is "tRNA-Ile". It matches the Rfam family "tRNA". From Rfam's summary of the family: Transfer RNA (tRNA) molecules are approximately 80 nucleotides in length. Their secondary structure includes four short double-helical elements and three loops (D, anti-codon, and T loops). Further hydrogen bonds mediate the characteristic L-shaped molecular structure. tRNAs have two regions of fundamental functional importance: the anti-codon, which is responsible for specific mRNA codon recognition, and the 3' end, to which the tRNAs corresponding amino acid is attached (by aminoacyl-tRNA synthetases). tRNAs cope with the degeneracy of the genetic code in two manners: having more than one tRNA (with a specific anti-codon) for a particular amino acid; and 'wobble' base-pairing, i.e. permitting non-standard base-pairing at the 3rd anti-codon position. Lineage: Bacteria; Pseudomonadati; Pseudomonadota. RNAcentral also lists the same sequence under 2 other names. The record is from RNAcentral.